Molecule: ribosomal RNA, 402 nt
Filed under: uncultured Ruegeria sp.
Lineage: Bacteria; Pseudomonadati; Pseudomonadota; Alphaproteobacteria; Rhodobacterales; Roseobacteraceae
Description: bacterial SSU rRNA
Rfam family: Bacterial small subunit ribosomal RNA
Source: RNAcentral
AGUGGGGAAUCUUGGACAAUGGGGGCAACCCUGAUCCAGCCAUGCCGCGUGAGUGAUGAAGGCCCUAGGGUCGUAAAGCUCUUUCGCCUGUGAAGAUAAUGACGGUAGCAGGUAAAGAAACCCCGGCUAACUCCGUGCCAGCAGCCGCGGUAAUACGGAGGGGGUUAGCGUUGUUCGGAAUUACUGGGCGUAAAGCGCACGUAGGCGGAUCGGAAAGUUGGGGGUGAAAUCCCGGGGCUCAACCCCGGAACUGCCUCCAAAACUAUCGGUCUAGAGUUCGAGAGAGGUGAGUGGAAUUCCGAGUGUAGAGGUGAAAUUCGUAGAUAUUCGGAGGAACACCAGUGGCGAAGGCGGCUCACUGGCUCGAUACUGACGCUGAGGUGCGAAAGUGUGGGGAGCAAA